UGCCGGUCAGAAGAUUAUCCUCCUUACGAACCUUUCGGACAAUUUCUUUAUUCUCUAAUAGCCUUACAUCGAUUGGUUCCGAAUUUGUCGUUGGGCUUUCGGGCGCGCUGGAUCAUGCCGACGAAAAAAGGUCUAGCCAACGUUAGCUUAAUCUCAGGAGAUCAACAAAAUGCCAGCUCGUAGCUGACUGGCUAAUAUUCCCAUUGCCAUGGCAUUGUAGGAACUGGGUGGGGAAGUGUUCUGCAAUCCUCACCUCCUACACUACAGAGAUGCACCUGUUUCAAGAUCUGGUAAGAUGAAGUGAACUACAGCGUAUCUCGGCUGUAGUUUACAACUCCCCUGAGAAUCUCUUCGACGACCUACACAAGAUGGAGGCUAGCGAUUCAUUUGCUGGCGCUAGUUGAGUUAGAGUAUAGGUCAAGGCAUUCGUACCGGCUACGGUCCUUGCAUUGUGUUAAUAUGAAGUUUAGGUUUCACUUAGAAGCGAUAGUUAAAUGGCAAAGCAUAGAUGUUUUGGGUAUCUUUAAACAUGAAUUUAAAUUUGUCAAGUAAAGAAAGACCAUAAUCUGAAAAAUGCAGAAUGAUCUAUACCGAAUAUGGCACCUGAGUGAAUACUUUCUCACGCCUUUUUCCCGAAAAUGCAACUAAGCAGAAAUGAAUUAAUAAGCAAAACGUGACCGUUAGGAAAGAGGCCGUUAAUUUCUCUACUGAAAAUCCAGCUGUGUUACAUAUAGUUAUCUGAACCACUUCAAUGUAUUUACGAUUUUUUUCGACAAAUCCUAUUGAAGGCCCUCUGGCUUGCCUCGCGUUAAUCCAAUGCAAAAUAGUACGAAUCAGCUCGAGCUUAUCAUUUUGUUUUUGGGCAGAACAAGAUUCUUCUUUAAGCAGCAAAAUUAAUAUGUGUCUAUUACGAUAGAUAGCCUGUGAAAGCUUAUCACAAGUGUAGUAUCAUGUGUACAGCCCCCCCCGAGACAAUGUAUGUACAACAUAGUGCAUCAUAACCUGCUGAUUACUUUUCAAGUUUACAAUCAGUUAGAAAUAACAGGUAGGUUAAGGUUGAUAUUUUAACAAGGAAAACGUGCUUUGAACGUAGGAAAAUGUAGCAGAAGUUCAAAGGCAAUAUUGUAGGGAGCUUUGGGCAGAUCCAGUUACGCGCCUUGCAACUAAUCGGCUAAAAGAUAAGGGUGAAGUGGACAAAACUAUUCAGGAUAUCAAUAGACAACGUCCCGGAAGACGACGAACAUCAACAAGCUUUACCAGCCAAGAAAGAGUACAGGAGGUUUAUGGCGAAACAACCAAGAUAUUUGUGAUACCAUAAAGUUGUAAGCUUGACGUCUGUAAACGAGAUGUCCAUCGCGUUUAGGGCGUUAUAAAUGGAAAAGCUCCCAUAGUGGAAUGUUCUAAUCUGAACCUGACAUUAGAAUUCUGCGA
Molecule: long non-coding RNA, 1431 nt
Organism: Varroa destructor (honeybee mite)
Lineage: Eukaryota; Metazoa; Arthropoda; Arachnida; Mesostigmata; Varroidae
Source: RefSeq, a predicted model, not a curated record